RNAcentral lists this ribosomal RNA (468 nucleotides) under uncultured bacterium. RNAcentral's name for it is "partial 16S ribosomal RNA". It matches the Rfam family "Bacterial small subunit ribosomal RNA", at positions 28 to 507 of the family's 1533-position model. The record is from RNAcentral.
GACGAACGCUGGCGGCGUGCUUAACACAUGCAAGUCGAACGGAAAGGCCCUGCUUUUGUGGGGUGCUCGAGUGGCGAACGGGUGAGUAACACGUGAGUAACCUGCCCUUGACUUUGGGAUAACUUCAGGAAACUGGGGCUAAUACCGGAUAGGAGCUCCUGCUGCAUGGUGGGGGUUGGAAAGUUUCGGCGGUUGGGGAUGGACUCGCGGCUUAUCCGCUUGAUGGGGGGGUAGUGGCGUACCAAGGCUUUGACGGGUAGCCGGCCUGAGAGGGUGACCGGCCACAUUGGGACUGAGAUACGGCCCAGACUCCUACGGGAGGCAGAAGUGGGGAAUAUUGCACAAUGGGCGGAAGCCUGAUGCAGCAACGCCGCGUGCGGGAUGACCUCCUUCGGGUUGUAAACCGCUUUCGCCUGUGACGAAGCGUGAGUGACGGUAAUGGGGAAAGAAGCACCGGCUAACUACGUG